This 409-nucleotide ribosomal RNA is filed under the name Sporolactobacillaceae bacterium 3(2010). Its description in RNAcentral is "bacterial SSU rRNA". It matches the Rfam family "Bacterial small subunit ribosomal RNA", at positions 292 to 692 of the family's 1533-position model. The record is from RNAcentral. RNAcentral also lists the same sequence under 1 other name. Lineage: Bacteria; Bacillati; Bacillota; Bacilli; Caryophanales; Sporolactobacillaceae.
CUGAGAGGGUGAUCGGCCACACUGGAACUGAGACACGGUCCAGACUCCUACGGGAGGCAGCAGUAGGGAAUCAUCCGCAAUGGGCGAAAGCCUGACGGUGCAACGCCGCGUGAACGAUGAAGGUUUUCGGAUCGUAAAGUUCUGUUAUGAGGGAAGAACAAGUGCCGUUCGAAUAGGGCGGCACCUUGACGGUACCUCACGAGAAAGCCCCGGCUAACUACGUGCCAGCAGCCGCGGUAAUACGUAGGGGGCAAGCGUUGUCCGGAAUUAUUGGGCGUAAAGCGCGCGCAGGCGGUCUCUUAAGUCUGAUGUGAAAGCCCACGGCUCAACCGUGGAGGGUCAUUGGAAACUGGGAGACUUGAGUGUAGGAGAGGAAAGUGGAAUUCCACGUGUAGCGGUGAAAUGCGUA